AAUGAACGUUGGCGGCGUGGAUUAGGCAUGCAAGUCGAGCGCUCAUAGCAAUAUGGGAGCGGCGAACGGCGUAGGAAUUCAUAGGAACGUACCCUCAGGACGGGGAUAGCUACGGGAAACUGUAGGUAAUACCCGAUGAUCUCCGCGGAGCAAAGGUGUGAUUCCGCCUGAGGAGCGGCUUAUGCGAUAUUAGCUAGUUGGUGGGGUAAUGGCCUACCAAGGCGACGAUGUCUAGGGGGUGUGAGAGCAUGGCCCCCACGACCGGAACUGAGAUACUGUCCGGACACCUACGGGUGGCUGCAGUCGAGAAUCUUCCGCAAUGGACGAAAGUCUGACGGAGCGACGCCGCGUGCGGGAUGAAAGGCCCUUGGGUUGUAAAACCGCUUUCGGAGGGGAUGAAAUCCUCGAGGGUUCUCCCUCGAGGUUGACAGAGCCUCAAAAGAAGCACGGGCUAAGUACGUGCCAGCAGCCGCG
Molecule: ribosomal RNA, 474 nt
Filed under: uncultured bacterium
Lineage: Bacteria
Description: bacterial SSU rRNA
Rfam family: Bacterial small subunit ribosomal RNA
Source: RNAcentral